Molecule: ribosomal RNA, 909 nt
Filed under: uncultured archaeon
Lineage: Archaea
Description: bacterial SSU rRNA
Rfam family: Archaeal small subunit ribosomal RNA
Source: RNAcentral
UGAUCCUGCCGAGGUUACUGCUAUCGAGGUUCGACUAAGCCAUGCGAGUCGAAUGUAGCAAUACAUGGCGUACUGCUCAGUAACACGUGGACAACCUACCUUUAGGCCGGGGAUAAACCCGGGAAACUGGGUAUAAUACCCGAUAGUCCUCGACUGUUGGAAUGCAUCGAGGACUAAAGCUCCGGCGCCUAAGGAUGGGUCUGCGGCCUAUCAGGUAGUAGUGGGUGUAGCGUACCUACUAGCAUACGACGGGUACGGGUUGUGAGAGCAAGAGCCCGGAGAUGGAUUCUGAGACACGAAUCCAGUCCCUACGGGGUGCAGCAGGCGCGAAAACUUUUCAAUGCUGGAAACAGCGAUAAGGGGACCUCGAGUGCCAGGUUACAAAUCUGGCUGUCGUGAUGCCUAAAAAGCAUUGCAUAGCAAGGGCCGGGCAAGACCGGUGCCAGCCGCCGCGGUAACACCGGCGGCUCGAGUGGUAACCGUUAUUAUUGGGUCUAAAGGGUCUGUAGCCGGCCGGAUAAGUCUCUUGGGAAAUCUGGCAGCUUAACUGUCAGGCUUUCAGGAGAUACUGUCUGGCUCGAGGCCGGGAGAGGUGAGAGGUACUUCAGGGGUAGGGGUGAAAUCUUGUAAUCCUUGAAGGACCACCAGUGGCGAAGGCGUCUCACCAGAACGGACCUGACGGCAAGGGACGAAAGCUAGGGGCACGAACCGGAUUAGAUACCCGGGUAGUCCUAGCCGUAAACGAUACUCGCUAGGUGUCGGCCACGGUGCGACCGUUGUCGGUGCCGUAGGGAAGCCGUGAAGCGAGCCACCUGGGAAGUACGGCCGCAAGGCUGAAACUUAAAGGAAUUGGCGGGGGAGCACCACAACGGGUGGAGCUUGCGGUUUAAUUGGAUUCAACGCCGGAAA